This 460-nucleotide ribosomal RNA is filed under the name uncultured bacterium. RNAcentral describes it as "partial 16S ribosomal RNA". It matches the Rfam family "Bacterial small subunit ribosomal RNA", at positions 338 to 795 of the family's 1533-position model. The record is from RNAcentral.
CCUACGGGUGGCAGCAGUGAGGAAUAUUGGUCAAUGGUCGGGAUCCUGAACCAGCCAUGCCGCGUGAGGGACGAAGGCUCAGCGUAUUGUAAACUUCUUUUGUAAGGGGACAAAGUCCCUUACGCGUCCCCUUUUGCGUGUACCUUACGAAUAAGGAUCGGCUAACUCCGUGCCAGCAGCCGCGGUAAUACGGAGAAUCCGAGCGUUAUCCGGAUUUAUUGGGGUUAAAGGGUGCGCCGGCUGUCUGGUAAGUUAGCGGUGAAAUCCCGUGGCUCAACCCCGGGGCUGCCGCUAAAACUGUCGGACUAGAGUUGGAAUGAAGCAGGCGGAAUGGGCAGUGUAGCGGUGAAAUGCAUAGAUAUCGCACAGAACACCGAUUGCGAAGGCAGCAUGCUGGGUCGGAACUGACGCUGAGGCACGAAAGCGUGGGUAUCGAACAGGAUUAGAUACCCGAGUAGUC